This 224-nucleotide ribosomal RNA is filed under the name uncultured bacterium. RNAcentral's name for it is "partial 16S ribosomal RNA". It matches the Rfam family "Bacterial small subunit ribosomal RNA", at positions 130 to 354 of the family's 1533-position model. The record is from RNAcentral.
CGUAUACGUGGGAUACUACNUUAGAAAUAGGUGCUAAUACCGCAUAAGCGCACAGCUUCGCAUGAAGCGGUGUGAAAAACUCUGGUGGUAUACGAUGGUUCCGCGUCUGAUUAGCUAGUUGGUGGGGUAAUGGCCUACCAAGGCAACGAUCAGUAGCCGGCCUGAGAGGGUGAACGGCCACAUUGGGACUGAGACACGGCCCAAACUCCUACGGAAGGCAGCAG